Syngnathus acus (greater pipefish) is the source of this 1134-nucleotide long non-coding RNA. RefSeq lists it as uncharacterized. The record is from RefSeq and is a predicted model, not a curated record. Lineage: Eukaryota; Metazoa; Chordata; Actinopteri; Syngnathiformes; Syngnathidae. The transcript is spliced from 3 exons.
CGGGCAUGUUUCGCAGGUUCUACUUCUGACGGCUCUCCUCGCUUUGCGGCGGCUUUCGGACUGUCAAUCAUGAGACGUGAUGAAGACGAGGAGGCGCUCCACCUAACAAGAUAUCAACAGGUCAAGGCUGACUUCCAUUGCGACUUCCUUGUCCACCUUCUCGCUGUGAGUAACUCUCAGCAUGUUCGCCAUCUGGUGCCUCAUUCUCCUCCACACGGCGUUGCGUUCUUUCUCCAACUCGAUUGGAGUUUGCCAUUGUGAAUGCAAUGCAGUUUUAUUUUCGAUCAAUGUGAGACUUUUUUUUGUGUGCAAUCUUAUUCAUGCGCCUGCAGGUUUGAAACGUGUCUUGCAUUUGUUUUGUGAUCCCGGAUUGUGUGUACGUGAGUGUUGGUGUGUGUGUAGUCAGUAUGUCAGUGUGUGUUUGAUACUCCAGUCCUUGUCAAUAGCGCCCUAUGCAUCUGUCCCAUAUUGUGGUCGGCAUGGUUACUGGUGUCGCUUAUCAUAGAGGGUCACACCAGAUCAAACAGGUGUUCAUCUCCAUGAUGUCUUUCCUCAACAACCGUUGCUAGGAACCUUUGUGGCAAAUCAUUGGUGAAAGGCAGCAGGCAUGCAAAAAUUAUUGUCUUGAUCUCCUUCAUAGUUUGCACUCAGGGAUGCAGGCAACUUGUUUUUCGCUAAUGCCACAUUUUUCUAUUUGUUUUGUCGGAAAUGUAUGUAUUCUAUGAGCAAAAUAAUUCUCAUCCAAAAUGCAGGAUGCUUCUUAUUCACCUGAAGGUAAAAAAUGUACUGUAUGCAAAAUUACCUCUAUUUAUUAAUGCACAUUUGCUUUAUAAGCAAACCUUUAGGGUUUUUUGGUGGGGCUAUUUAUGUAUAAUUUUGUCAAUUACACAUGACAGAUGAGCAAGCACUUUUUUAAAUAAGUUUUCACUAACCAACCGGAGCAUUAGGUAAAACUAUCAAUAGUAGAUUUAAACAUCUUAAUUUCGUUUUUGAGGGGAAAAAAAGUCUCAAAUAAAUGAAAUAAAGCUAAAUGUAUUUUAGCAGUGCAUUUGAAAGUUGCAGAAAGUGGAAAAAUAAAACAAUAAAUGAAUGAAAAAAGACAGAGAAAGUGUUCUGCGUUAUUUUAAAAAAUAU